RNAcentral lists this RNase P RNA (433 nucleotides) under Formivibrio sp. RNAcentral describes it as "RNase P RNA component class A". It matches the Rfam family "Bacterial RNase P class A". From Rfam's summary of the family: Ribonuclease P (RNase P) is a ubiquitous endoribonuclease, found in archaea, bacteria and eukarya as well as chloroplasts and mitochondria. Its best characterised activity is the generation of mature 5'-ends of tRNAs by cleaving the 5'-leader elements of precursor-tRNAs. Cellular RNase Ps are ribonucleoproteins. The record is from RNAcentral. Lineage: Bacteria; Pseudomonadati; Pseudomonadota; Betaproteobacteria; Neisseriales; Chitinibacteraceae.
GAAGCAGGCCAGACAGUCGCUGCCCGUGCAAACGGGGGGAGGAAAGUCCGGGCUCCACAGGACAGGAUGCCGGCUAACAGCCGGGCGCCGCGAGGCGACGGAAAGUGCAACAGAGAGCUGAACCGCCGAUGGCCGCGGACUUCGCGGGGCGCAAGCCCUGCAAAGUCCCAUCAAGAAAGGGAGGAAACUCCCCGGAUUGAUGGAACGCGGAUCAGGUAAGGGUGAAAAGGCGAGGUAAGAGCUCACCGCGGACGUGGCAACACGGACGGCAGGGUAAACCCCAUCCGGAGCAAGACCAAGCAGCAGGCAGUGAGGCGGUCCGCUGAGCCUGCGGGUGUGUUGCUUGAGCCCAGUGGUAACGCUGGGCCUAGAGGAAUGACUGUCGCGACGGGCAACCGUCGAACAAAACCCGGCUUAUCGGCCUGCUUCGCCC